Molecule: long non-coding RNA, 375 nt
Organism: Pan troglodytes (chimpanzee)
Lineage: Eukaryota; Metazoa; Chordata; Mammalia; Primates; Hominidae
Exons: 3
Source: RefSeq, a predicted model, not a curated record
GACCCGCAGCUGCCCGCCGGCCUCCUGGCCACCCUUGACCAUCCUCAGGAGUUUGAUGCCCACGUGGGACACAGCUAGGAGCUGCACACCAGUGCCCACGCUGCCCUGGGGCAGAGAUGAAGGGCGUGUGAGGAUCCUCUUGUCUCAUCCCUGAAUCCUCUGGACAGAGAUGCGAAGGCAGGCCUCGGAGAGCGUGUCGUGCAGGAUCUGUGGGAACAGGCUGUGAUGCAGGCAGCACAUGGGACUCCCCCAGCCGGGACCCAGGCUGGACUAUACUAGGCCCUGCUGAGUUCACUGAGGCAGAAAGGGGAGACAGGACCUCACCUGCCGGAACAGGAGGUCAAGCUGCACAGGAUGGCUGUAGCUGUCCUUGGG